AUAAUCUAGUUAAAGCCAUUGGUGGAUGCCUUGGCGUCAUAUGGCGAUGAAGGACGCAGCAAGCUGCGAUAAGCCUCGGGGAGCGGCAAACACGCUUUGAUCCGGGGAUUUCCGAAUGGGGAAACCCAAUACCCGUAAUGGGGUAUUACUCCCAGCUGAAUAUAUAGGCUGGGUAGAGCGACACGCGGUGAAGUGAAACAUCUCAGUAACCGCAGGAAAAGAAAGAGAAUCGAUUCCGUAAGUAGCGGCGAGCGAAAGCGGAACAGCCCAAACCAGAGUGAUUUAUCACGCUGGGGUUGUAGGACUAUAAUGUGAGAAGCAACGGAUAGACGAAUACCUUGGAAAGGGUAACCAUAGAGGGUGACAGUCCCGUAGUUGAAAUCCCGCGCCGAUCUAAUAGUAUCCUGAGUAGCACCGGACACGUGAAACCCGGUGUGAAUCUGCGCCGACCACGGCGUAAGGCUAAAUACAAGAUGACGACCGACAGUGAACUAGUACCGCGAGGGAAAGGUGAAAAGCACCCCUGUUAGGGGAGUGAAAUAGUAACUGAAACCGAUGGCUAACAAAUCAGUAGGAGCCGCCUUGUGCGGUGACUGCCUGCCUUUUGUAUAAUGAGUCUGCGAGUUUAUGUCCGUAGCAAGCCUAAGCUGCUAAGCAGUGGAGGCGUAGCGAAAGCGAGUCUGAAUAGGGCGAUUGAGUUGCUGGCAUAAGACCCGAAGGGGAGGUGAUCUUACCAUGACCAGGUUGAAGCGUUAGUAAAAUAACGUGGAGGACCGAACCGGUGUAGCUUGAGAACUGCUCGGAUGAGUUGUGGUAAGGAGUGAAAGGCUAAUCAAACCCCCUGAUAGCUGGUUCUUUCCGAAAUAUAUUGAGGUAUAGCGUCGAGCGCUGACCUGUGGAGGUAGAGCACUGAAUAAGCUAGGGCCCCUACCGGGGUACUGAACUUUAUCAAACUCCGAAUGCCACAGGGUGAAGCUCGGCAGUCAGACUUAGGGUGCUAACGUCCUAAGUCGAGAGGGCAACAACCCAGACCAUCAGUUAAGGUCCCUAAAUGUGGCUCAGUGGUAAAGGAUGUGAUUUUACUUAGACAAUGGGGAUGUUGGCUUAGAGGCAGCCAUCAUUUAAACAGUGCGUAACAGCUGACCCAUCGAGUGAAAUUGCGCCGAAAAUGAUCGGGACUUAAGCCACAUACCGAAGCUAUGGAUUUCAGUUCUUCGGAACUGGAGUAGUAGGAAAGCGUUCCAAGUGCAGUGAAGGAGAAGGGGCAACCGACUCUGGAGCGCUUGGAAGUGAGAAUGCAGACAUGAGUAACGAUAAAGAUGGUUAAAGUCCAUCUCGCCGUAAGGAUAAGGUUUCCUGGGGAAGGCUCGUCCUCCCAGGGUUAGUCGGGAGCUAAGAUGAGGCCGUAAGGAGUAAUCGAUGCACAGAAGGUUAAUAUUCCUUCACCGGCUUGCAACUAUUCCCAGAGUGCGGAUCGACGGACCCUACAGACCUGUUUUGACAAGGCACUGCAAAGCUACGGCUGCGUGGGUGUAGGGAAAGAAGGUUCCAAGAAAAGCUCUGGAAUUACUAUGCAGGUCGCUCGUACCGCAAACCGACACAGGUAUCCGGGAUGAGUAUUCUAAGGCGCGUGAGUUAAAUCUCUCUAAGGAACUCGGCAAAUUUGCCCCGUAUCUUCGGUAGAAGGGGCGCCCCCUCUUGGGGGGCCGCAGUAAAGAGGCGCAACCGACUGUUUAGCAAAAACACAGCUCUCUGCUAAGUCGCAAGACGAUGUAUAGGGAGUGACACGUGACCAAUGCGAAAAGGUGAACGUCUGGGGUGAGAGCUCCGGGCCCAAGCCCUCGUGAAUGUCGGCCGUAACUAUAACGGUCCUAAGGUAGCGAAAUUCCUUGUCGGGUAAGUUCCG
This 1906-nucleotide ribosomal RNA is filed under the name seawater metagenome. Its description in RNAcentral is "bacterial LSU rRNA". It matches the Rfam family "Bacterial large subunit ribosomal RNA", at positions 1 to 1985 of the family's 2925-position model. The record is from RNAcentral.